CUGAGGACAGGGUUCCUUAAAGGUUAACUGUAUGUUUGUCUCAUCAGGUUAUUCGGUUUGAUGGAGGGGAAUAUGUGUCGAUGGCUGGAGAGUUUAAUGAGCUGAAGAAGGUGACUCCUGAUCAGUGGGACGUGAUGGAGGCGAUGAUCAGAAGCACUAAAGGAUCCUAAAAAUCUUCUGAUGACCGAAGAACCAUCAGAUCGCAGUGUGCAGUGCGCGCGCCUGCUGAUGUCAUAUUGAUUGAUUUUUGACUUAGAGCAACAUAUCUCAAUACUAUUAGCCUAUUAGAAUGUAGUUGUGGCACUGUCAUGUGACCUACUGCACAUGCUCAGUGUGAACUCAAACACUUUUUUGUCAUUUUGAUAAUAAAAGUUUAACCCAAACACUGAA
This is a non-coding RNA of Labrus bergylta (ballan wrasse), 390 nucleotides long. The record is from RefSeq and is a predicted model, not a curated record. NCBI's taxonomy places the organism in Eukaryota, Metazoa, Chordata, Actinopteri, Labriformes, Labridae.